CGAAAAGUGCCGCCGAAUUUCGCAGCUCUGUGAUCCCACAACGCAAGCAACAGUUGCUCUCUGCUUCCCAAACGCACCAGUGUGAAGUUAGUUGUUUUUUUUUUUAGUUUUUAGUUUAGCUACACAACUUUUGAAGGAUAAUAAUUUAUUAUAUGAUGAAUGUUUUUUUUUGAAGUUUAUUUAGUUUAAUUUGUGGCUCAAGCUAAAAUUUCAUAUAUUCAUUUAUAUAAACACUAUAUACAUAGAGAGUCAAAUUGUUUGUGUUUGGAAUUGUGUUACAAUAUUAUUAAAAAGAAAAAACAAAAACAAAUUCAAAACGGAGCCGGGUGCCAGACGCUUGACAAGAUUUAGCACCGUUAUAUAAUACAUACAUAUUGUAUGUACAGACAGAGACAGAGAGAGCGAAAGAAAAUACUUUACAAAUCAUGUGUAUCAUGUUUUAAGAGCUUCGCAUACAUCACUUUUCUUCACCUCUGCUCUCUUCUUUUUUUAAUCUUCCUCUAUACUCACUUAUCCGCUUUGAGUUGCAUAUUCUUGGCUUGGCUUGGCUUUGUAUAAACGUAACGGCUCUUUCACACGAAACGAAACGAACAAAAAUACGAAAACGAAGAACCAACCGAAGGGGAAAUCAAACAUUUGUGUAUGUGUGUGAACAUUUUGAAGUUGAAAACAUAGAUUAAUUUAAAUCAACGGUACUUUUUACACUGGUGGCCCACAACACAGUCAGGCCCCAAGAAAAAAUCAAAAAGGAAA
Drosophila willistoni is the source of this 753-nucleotide long non-coding RNA. RefSeq lists it as uncharacterized. The transcript has 2 exons. The record is from RefSeq and is a predicted model, not a curated record. NCBI's taxonomy places the organism in Eukaryota, Metazoa, Arthropoda, Insecta, Diptera, Drosophilidae.